GUGUUCACUUCGGCAGCACAUACACUAAAACCGGAACAAUACAGAAAAGAUUAUCACGGCCCCUGCACAAAGAUGACACAAAUUCGUGAAGUGUUCCCUAAAAAA
Cercocebus atys (sooty mangabey) is the source of this 105-nucleotide small nuclear RNA. NCBI's taxonomy places the organism in Eukaryota, Metazoa, Chordata, Mammalia, Primates, Cercopithecidae. The record is from Ensembl.